This 456-nucleotide ribosomal RNA is filed under the name uncultured bacterium. RNAcentral's name for it is "bacterial SSU rRNA". It matches the Rfam family "Bacterial small subunit ribosomal RNA", at positions 340 to 786 of the family's 1533-position model. The record is from RNAcentral.
UACGGGAGGCAGCAGUGGGGAAUAUUGCACAAUGGGCGCAAGCCUGAUGCAGCCAUGCCGCGUGUAUGAAGAAGGCCCUUCGGGUUGUAAAGUACUUUCAGUCGUGAGGAAGGUGUUAAGGUUAAUAACCUUAGCAAUUGACGUUAGCGACAGAAGAAGCACCGGCUAACUCCGUGCCAGCAGCCGCGGUAAUACGGAGGGUGCGAGCGUUAAUCGGAAUUACUGGGCGUAAAGGGCACGCAGGCGGUUAAUUAAGUUGGAUGUGAAAUCCCCGGGCUUAACCUGGGAAUGGCAUUCAAGACUGGUUAGCUAGAGUCUUGUAGAGGGGGUAGAAUUCCAUGUGUAGCGGUGAAAUGCGUAGAGAUGUGGAGGAAUACCGGUGGCGAAGGCGGCCCCUGGGACAAAGGACUGACGCUCAUGUGCGAAAGCGUGGGGAGCAAACAGGGAUUAGAUACC